AGAGUUUGAUCAUGGCUCAGGACGAACGUUGGCGGUGCGCUUAAUGCAUGCAAGUCGAGGGAGAACCUUUCGAUCCGUAAGGACCGAAUGGGGAAACCGGCGAACGGGUGCGUAACACGUGAGGAACCUGCCCCGAAGACCGGGAUAGCCCGAGGAAACUCGGAUUAAUACCGGAUACCCUCCUCGGACCACAUGGUCUGUUGAGGAAAUGGUCCGCCGCUUCGGGAUGGCCUCGCGGCCUAUCAGCUUGUUGGUGAGGUAACGGCUCACCAAGGCAAAGACGGGUAGCUGGUCUGAGAGGACGAUCAGCCACACUGGGACUGAGACACGGCCCAGACUCCUACGGGAGGCAGCAGCAGGGAAUAUUGCACAAUGGGCGAAAGCCUGAUGCAGCGACACCGCGUGCGGGAUGAAGGCCCUCGGGUUGUAAACCGCUUUCAGGAGGGACGAAAAUGACGGUACCUCCAGAAGAAGGCCCGGCCAACUACGUGCCAGCAGCCGCGGUAAUACGUAGGGGCCAAACGUUGUCCGGAUUUAUUGGGCGUAAAGGGCUCGUAGGCGGUUCAACAAGUCGAUCGUGAAAGCCCGGGGCUCAACCCCGGGACGCCGGUCGAAACUGUUGUGACUAGGGUCCGGUAGAGGUGAGUGGAAUUCUCGGUGUAGCGGUGGAAUGCGCAGAUAUCGAGAGGAACACCAGUUGCGAAGGCGGCUCACUGGGCCGGUACCGACGCUAAGGAGCGAAAGCGUGGGGAGCGAACGGGAUUAGAUACCCCGGUAGUCCACGCCGUAAACGAUGUCUACUAGGUUGUGAAAGUUCUGACNCUCGCACAGCCNAAGCAAAAGUGCUAAGUNNACCGC
RNAcentral lists this ribosomal RNA (858 nucleotides) under uncultured bacterium. RNAcentral describes it as "bacterial SSU rRNA". It matches the Rfam family "Bacterial small subunit ribosomal RNA", at positions 8 to 872 of the family's 1533-position model. The record is from RNAcentral.